AAUAGAUACCCAGGUAGUCCACGCCGUAAACGAUGAGAACUAGAUGUUAGGGGGCUUAGACCUUUUAGUAUCGCAGCAAACGCGUUAAGUUCUCCGCCUGGGGAGUACGGCCGCAAGGUUAAAACUCAAAUGAAUUGACGGGGGCCCGCACAAGCGGUGGAGCAUGUGGUUUAAUUCGAUGCAACGCGAAGAACCUUACCUACCUUUGAAUCCACGGAAUCUUGCAGAAAUGUGAGAGUGCCUUCGGGAACCGUGAGACAGGUGCUGCAUGGCUGUCGUCAGCUCGUGUCGUGAGAUGUUGGGUUAAGUCCCGUAACGAGCGCAACCCUUGUCCUUAGUUACCAGCGAGUUAUGUCGGGGACUUUAAGGAGACUGCCGGUGAUAAACCGGAGGAAGGUGGGGAUGACGUCAAGUCCUCAUGGCCCUUACAGGUAGGGCCACACACGUGCUACAAUGGCCGGUACAAAGGGUUGCCAACCCGCGAGGGGGAGCUAAUCUCAAAAGCCGGUCGUAGUCCGGAUCGGAGUCUGCAACUCGACUCCAUGAAG
This 548-nucleotide ribosomal RNA is filed under the name uncultured bacterium. RNAcentral's name for it is "bacterial SSU rRNA". It matches the Rfam family "Bacterial small subunit ribosomal RNA", at positions 777 to 1325 of the family's 1533-position model. The record is from RNAcentral.